Molecule: long non-coding RNA, 2635 nt
Organism: Mangifera indica (mango)
Lineage: Eukaryota; Viridiplantae; Streptophyta; Magnoliopsida; Sapindales; Anacardiaceae
Exons: 3
Source: RefSeq, a predicted model, not a curated record
CAAUCAAAUGAAAACCAAAGACCGGAUGGUGGAGUGAUAAGAAGGCUUAUAGGAGACAAAGGGGCUGAACUCUCUAAAAUCCAACUUACCUACAGGAAUGCCGCAACUGCACAGAGAUGGAGUCUUCCGAGAUGCAUUUUUAGUUAAACCUGUUAAGAGGUGUCACUUCGAGCUGAAGAGGAGUGUGCCCUGGAGGGAGAUACUGUAUAGGAGAAUGUUUAUUUCUAUUGAGUGUUCUAUUUUGCAGGUCUUCAAUUGGAUGCUGCAGUGUAUUUCUUCCCUUGCACACUGCUCCUAGAACAUCUAUAAAGCUGCAGUACACCUGGUCUCCCCUGGAUUUUGUCCAUACAACUAUUCUCUAUGUUUAAUCCAGUCCCCCAGUAGCUUCAGAUAUUCUGUUUGCAAAUCUCAGUUCUGUCUCUCUUGCCGCUACUUUCUGCUCUUGCCCAGGAUUUCCAGUCCAUUCUGCUUCUCUCCUUCCUUGUCCAAGCUGCUGCUUCAGAUGCCUAAUUUGCUUGCAAGUUUGUUGAGAAACAGGGUCCCUUUUUGACGAGCUGCUGCAUUUACAGUUUUCUGAGCAGCUGCCGUCCCCGCAUCUCCAAGCUUUCUGCUGGUUUUACCACCCAGGUUGUCUGGGAUUUACUUCUUUUUUGGUCUGCUCCUUGUAAAGCUCCCUGUCAGAUCUAUGUUAUAUUUCAUGCCCAGAUUCUUGUUCCUCCUGGCUGCUGUUUUCACUCCCAGGCAUCUGUAACUUGCUACAUGUUUUGGUACCCUUCUGCAGUUCAUCCAGCUACAGCAAAUGCUCUGGAGAGGUGCCUGCUAUUCUGCCUGGAGAAAGUGCCCGGAAAUGUGCAGCAAGGUUGUUUCCCAGAGAUGGACCUGCAGGUUUCAAAUGUUUGCCUCCAUAUUCUGCCGCAGAAAAUGCAUUCCGCUCUUGUUCAGCACCUCCAGAAAAUGCUUUCAGUUUACUGCAGUUCCUACUGGUGUGUUAUGAAAAAUAUAAUUUUUUUUUUUAUAAAUAAAAAACUUUUUAUAAAAAAAUACAACCUGCUUUUUUUUUUUUUCAAUACAGUAAUUGCACACUUUUUCCGCUGCUUCCAAGAAUAUACGUAUGCAUCAGAUUCUGUAAUACACAAUCUAAUUACCAUUACAUAAAGUUAAUUACAAUAAUCAUAAAAUUUGGCUACAGUUUAUUGAAUUUGAUGAAAUAUGUUAGCUUAAUCACAAUAAAAUAUAGGCAAAGGACUAUUUACUCUUCUUGAUGGGAUGAGUUUAGGGUGUUUUCGAAUCUCCUAUAAAUUCAUUGUUUCUUUGUUAAUAUAUUAUUUUACUCAAAAAAAAAAAAAGUGUUAGCAAUAGCUAAUACACUGAUUUGUUUAGCUCCUUUGUACUAUUGAUGUUUAUUAUCAGGGUUCCAUAGAUACUGCAACUUGUAAAUUAGAUUCAUCUUUUUCUUUUUUUUUCCUUUUAAACAUCUUGCAAUCAAAUUUUCUCAUCAAGGAAUCUUUAUUACAUUUAAAAAAAAUCCUUUCAGUUAUCAGAUUAGAUACAUGUUUGUUAAAUUUAAGAGGAUAAAUUCUAAUAUAUUUAAUUAUAAAACCUCGCAAUAUAUAUAUUAAAAAAAGAGAGAGAGAGAGAGAAGAAGAUAAUGUUAAAAUCCAAGUCUCCAUACUCACUGAACAAAAUCCUAUAUAACAGGAUUAUGUUCCACCACCGAGAGCUACCCUAAUUUAUUGGUGUCUAAUAUACUUAUCUGACGUCCUUCUUCAGCUGUUCGAAUAAGAAAAAUAUAACAGUUCAACAAAAUCUAAUAACCACCUCGAAUCAUUGUAAUCUAAGCAAAUUUGUACUUCAAUGAUACUGUCUCUUAAACUCAGAAAGAUGAAAGGAAAAUAAAAAUAAUUUUCAGUAGAUCUUCUGAUCUCUUAAAUGGUUAAUGAUCCAUGUCAGAUUAAAAAAAAAAAAAUCUCUCUGCAAUAAACAAAUAUGUGGUCAUUUCACCCAACAUAAGCAAGGUAUCAGAUCUCACAGAUCAUUAUAUAACUAUUAUCUCCUUCCUUUUCAUGUCUUUUUUGCUUCUUUUUGAACAUAUGAACAUGGGGUUUGCAGUUUGUUCUCUCUUUGUUAUUUUUUUACAGUUCUGGUUAGUCUGUGCAUCAGCAAUGUGACUCAUGCUAUGAAUAUAAGCAGCAGUGCCAAUUUAACAACUUACACCGACUUCCUUCUAGUCAAUGGGGUUGCUCAAAAAUUCACCAAUGGGGUGAAUUCAUCCACCAUUUAUCAUUUUUAUAAUUAUCUUGCUUUUUAAAAAGGUCCUUGUGAAUUUUUUUAAUAUUCAUAUUAGAUAAACAGAGUUGGUUUCUCUUUAAUGCAGGUGGAACAGCUGGAAUCAUUAUCAUUGCAAUAUAGAUGAGAAGAUUGUGAAGACUACUGCAGAUGCACUUGUUGCAACUGGUUUGGUGGCACUUGGAUACAAAUAUGUAAAUAUUGGUUGUGGAAAAGCAGAUGACUCUUGGGAAGAAGCAGACAGAGACUGGAGGGGUAAUUUAGUGGCGGAAUCAUCCACAUUCCCUUCAGGAAUCAAGGCCCUUGCCAAUUAUGUUCAUGCAAGGGGUUUAAGACUUGGAAUAUAUUC